GGCAUAAACGUGCCAUCCCCUCCUCAAAAUUGCCUCCCCCUUCCCAAAUUUGUAUGUUGAAACCCUAACCCAAAGAUAUCUCCCAAAGGUAAUUAAGAAAUAAUUAGGUUUUAAGUGACUUAAGUCAUGAGAAUGGAUCCCUCUGAUGGGAUUAGUGUCCUUAAAAGAAGAGGAAAGGACUAGAAGGUUUCUCCCUCUUUCAAGCUCUGUCUCUGCCACAUGAGGACACAGCAAGAAGAAAGCCAUCUGCAAGCCAGGAAGGGGGCCCUCACCAGAACCUGAUUAUGUUGGCGACAUGAUCUCAGACUUCCCAACUUCCGAACUGUGAGAAAUAAAUGUCUGUUGUUGACGCCACCUGGUCUGUGUUGUGUUGUAAGAGCAGCCUGAACUGACUAACGCUUGGGGGAAAUAAAAGUAAUUAGAGUUAGUAAUUCGGGAUACCAUCCAGUUCUUCUCAGCUGGAAUUCUGAGGUAUUGAGAUGACACCAGUUUCAGAAGUUGUUGUUUUGGUAUAAUCUUCCUGUGUUUCUACCCACAGCACUAUUUUGUGAAAUACUUUUUUAUUUAUUUACUUUUUUUUCAGACUGAUUCUAACUCAAACUGCCUCUUAGGCAAGACAGUACUUCUUUUCUUCAACCUCAAUUUUUUUUUUUUAUGUGGAACUCUGCAAGAAUAUUGGGCCAUAUAGUUUUGGGGCCAUAUAAAAUGCUUUAUCAUUUUCAAACCAAGAGGAGAAAUUUGCUUCUAUAUUGAUGAACUAUUCUUUCAUGUUUCAUUAUCUCACACCUAAGGAAAUUUCUUAUGAAUUUUCAGGAAAUUUUGUGAGAAAAUAUUGAUUGUGUGACAAACACCGUUGGGCGAAAUCAUUGCUAUCUUGGUUUUUCUUUUUGAUCCUUGGUGUGGUAUGACUGGUCGCCAAGACUACUACUACUACUUUCAUUCGGAUAAUAAUGUAAAAUUAACAGAGGGGUUUCACAUGACUUAUUGCUUGAACUCCUCUCAACAAACCAUGCAACUGACAUCUCUCUUUCACCAGAGAGGAAAUGAGAUUGAGCUGUGCCCAUAUCACAUGGCUGGUAAGCAGCCCAGUUUGGCUACAACCCCAGAGCAAUGACUGCCUGUGAAGAAAUCCAUCUGCCAUUUUGGUUGGGAAUAGAAGUGUCAAGCAAUGCCAUGGGCACUCCCGUAUGGAAAGAUGUGAGAUGCCUUCUAUUGCAGGCAUUAUUGCCAUAAACAAACACCUGUUUUGUGUCUCCUGAGCAUCUGAGAAGAUGGUAUACUUCUACCUCAAAGUUUGCUCUGCUGAUCUCUGUUCCUCUAUCCAGAGCAUGUACAGGAAGGAGAGAACCACCUGAACACUCCUUCCACUUGGACUAGAUGUUUUUCUGAAGGUGAAUGCCUCAGUUUGUUUCCCAAUGUGGUGAUUGGUAUUAUACCAAGAUGCAAUGAAUUUAAUGUAAAGCAAAUGGUUUCAACCACUGAGAAUUUGGGCUUGCUUGUUAUUGAAGCUUAAAUUAGCCUGUCUUGACUGGUAUGACUUCUUGAUUCAAAUUUAAUUCUUUUAUAAAAGAAUAUUACUUCUGUAGGGUGGAUCUUAAACUGAUCAUAUAGAUACAUACCUUUGAAAGAGAAAAUAUCCUCCUAAACCCUCAUGAUUUUAUUUAAAUCAAUUUGACAAUUUUACUUAAAUAUGCACAAGCAUAAAAGUAAGAACGAAUUCUUCACACAUGUACUUAUUGAGCAACUGCGAAACCAGAUUCCAAAUUAAAUGAAAAGAAAAAUACCACAUAACCAAAGGAUUAUAAAUAAACAGUAACAAAAUAUACUGGAAUCCACAUGGCUUCGUGGAAACUACAUUGCUAUCCAAGUGUCAAGCAGGUUCUUUGGAGUAGAGCAUGCUUCUUUAAUCUGCCCUCAGCAAUGGCUCACUUUUUUUUUUUCCAACUACCACAAAACAUUCCUUAAUUCAUAUUGUGUAAGAAAAGUUUAAAGGAAUCAUUUUAGUACCAAAGCUACUUCUGUUCCUUUCUUACCAGCCUGACCUUUCUCACUGUUGAUGCCAAUAAACACAUUCUAAAACUUGAGCUCAGAAAUUUUGUGUCGGUUUUCAGAUUUAAGGAUACCUGUGCUUAGCUUUGUAAGUAUAUCAUUGAAAUAAAAACCCUAAGCUUUGAAAUUUUUAUUCAAACCUAGGGACAUUCCACUCUUAAAACGCAUUUCAGAGGCCCAUGAAGUGUGUACUUGCAAAACUGGUUAAAAGGACAAAUGUUUUCCAUAUUUCACCAAAAUUUUUUUUUUUUUCAGGAAGAAUAGCACAGGUAUCCUGAGCAUGAAUCUCCCUGUUAUUUUGAUUGUGGGUGAAUUUGAGGUGAGUUGCUUAACCUCUCUGAAUCUCCAGUAUCCAUCUGCAAAGCAUACCAUUCUUAUGUUAAAGCACAAAGAGUGAAAUGAAGAGUCUAGUACAGGACCAUUUUUGUUAUGCAUUUUCCUCUCUGGAGAUAGCCCACUGAUUUCCCAACUUCCCUUGAUGAAAAGACAUUUCCAGAUGUAGUCUAUAAGUCCUCCCACAAGGCCUUCUCACUCUGUGGACUUAAUCAGAGGAUCUGGCACAGGAUUCCAGAGCUCCAGGGCACAACUUUAUACACUGUUCUUUAUAAAGGUCCGGAUAGUAAAUAUCCCAGGUUUCUUGGUCUAUACGUAUCGUGUUUCUGAUAUAAAACCCAAGCACCUAUAUGACCUUCUGUAAGUAUGAGGCUUCCCCCUUCUUCCCUACCUUUAAAGACAGGGAUUGUGGAUAAUUUGUUUAUUGAGCCUUUCUAAUUCAUGUUGGUGAAAUGAAUAAAAACACCAUCAGAUAAAUAACCCUGGGGAGGAUUAAUGUCUGCAACAGGUACAGCACUUUAGGUUGUCACUGUCCCCUUCCCUUCAUGCCCCUGUUCAUUCCCAGACACACAUUUAAGACACUGUUUUUUUGAAUGAGGUGACUAGAGCUUGGCUGGCUGGUCAAGGUGCUAUGACGGGUUACCCCCUGUGACAGCGACUCCCGGAGCCCCUUGUAAAGCCAGCUCUGGGGUCUUUUCUCUGACUGUGCCACGGUAACAUGCACUGUCUCCUACCAGCUCGACAUCACCACCAUUGUGGGUUUGUAUUUUCAACCCUAAUUUAUAGUUCAGGAGCCUGAGACCCAAAGGAGUUAAAGAGUUUUCCAAAGUCAUCUACUAGAAUCCAGGUUUCCUGAUUCCUCCCAUCAUGCUACCCAGCGUUGGAUUCUGAGGCCUCCAAGAUCUUAUUCACCUUCCAUAUUUGAAAUGUGUUUGUUGGGGGAACAAUUGACCUCAGAAUGAGUAAUUUGCUACCACUCUGAGUAAGUUUCACACUUUCCCAUUACAGAGUGAAAAUGAGAAAAAUAUGUCCUAGAUACCACAGAUAAAAAUGCUUCAUUGUCUUAAUUGCCUUUCUAUUUCAAUCAAGGAAGGCAUUUAAUUAUUUCUGAACUACAUUCUAAAUUCUCUCUCAAGAAUAUCACUGUCCCCAGGUGAGUUAACCAAGACUGUGCAAAACAUUUUCUCAAACCUGAAUGAUGAUCCCCAAUAUUUGCUGAGUACUUCUUACACGCCAGCAACUAUUUUAAAUCCUUUCCAUUGAUGACUUCAUUUCCUCCUCUCAGCAAGUCUGUGAAGAGGAUGCAAUCAUUAUUCCCCUUUACAGAUGAGGAGAGCAAGGCACAGAGGUGAGAUCUUGGCCUGAGAUCACAGGCAGGAGGUGGUGAAGUCAAGCAUCCGAUCCCAGGAUCGCCUCUGAGGUCACACUUCUGAUUUCACUCACCAUGCAGUCUUUGGACACAGACCUGGUGUCCCCUUUGAGAUAUAAGGGUUACUUGAACACAGUUCUGAAUAUGUACACAAAAGUCAUUUGUAGGACCCAUCCAAAAGGACCAGUUGCGGCUACUGAAGGGUCACCCAGAAUCUCCAGCCUCUGGAAAUACGGGUGGGUCAUCUCAAGGCUGCAGGGGCAGCAGGGGCAGUUUGUCUUCUUCUUAAACAACCUCAGGAAAGAAGUUCUUGCUGCUGAGCACCACUGUCCUGGACCUCAAAAGAUCCACAUGACACUCAUUCUACUCCACUGGAUCUAAUCAUGGCUGUGAAACCACAGACAGAAGAGAUAACAUUCUCAUGAUCUGUAUUUACAGCCAUUAUUCUUGCCUCACUUGAGCUAUCUAGAGAACGAAGGACAGUCAACUCAGUAUUUCUAGAAUAGGACCCCCCCCCUUGUCUGUGGAAGGUAUGUCCCAAGAUGCCCCCUGAAUGCCUGAAACCACAGAUAGUACUGAACUUCAUAUUUCCUAUGUUAUAUUAAAAUCAAAUUUAUUAAUUGGGCACAAUAAACAAUAAUAAUUCAUAUUAAAUUAGAACAAUUAUAACAUUAUACAGUAACGAAAUUGCCAGCAUCACUACUUUUGCACUUUGGGGUCACUAUUAAGUAAAAUAAGGGUUACUUGAACCCAGGUACUGUGAUACUACAACCAUCAAUUGGAUAAUCAAGGUGGCUACUGAGUGGAUGGACAGCAUAUAUGAUAUGGAUACCCUGGACAAAGGGAUGAUUCACGUCCAGCGCAGGAAAUGACAGGAUGGUGUGAUAGUUCAUCAUGCUACCCAGAAGUAUAUGAUUUAAUAACUGUGAGUUGUUUAUUUCUGGAAUUUUCCAUAUAACAUUUCAGAUUGGUUGACCACAGGUAACUGAAACCAUGAAAAGUGAAAUUACAGAUAAGGAGUUAAUAAGAUAAAAUUGAAUGAUAUGAACACAUAGGCUGUGUAAGUAAAAAAAUGUUUUCUUGUAUGAUGUACUGGAGCCUUCAAAAAACACAUAUUACCUGUCGUACAGAAUAAAGGCUAGAUUUUGAAAUGUGAAGCCCACAUCAGUAGGGAGUUGACACUUCAAAUCAUUCACACAGAUAUUAAACUUUAUAAUGGGUUAAUUAUGGAGUACCUUAUAUAUUCAGAUAUAAAUAUUUGGGUAAUUUGGGUUUAAAAAGUUUUGAUCUUCAUGGUACUCUUUGUUUUAACAGCAUAAUCAUUCCUAAAUAAUUUCAUGGAAAUAUUCUGCUUCGUUAAUUUUGCAAAAGGACAUGUAUGAAAAACACUGAUAUUUUUUGAAUAAAAAAUAAAAUUUAAAAAUAUAUUUAGCCUCCAUUCCUAAUAAGCCUGAGCAACUGUUGUUUCUUUCUGAAGAAUCAAGAUCAGUCACAAGACUGAUCCCUUGUUUAAAUUCAUCUAUCAUUCAAUAAACAUGUUAAUAUUGGAGAAACUGCAUGAACUCAGCUUCUUUCCUUCCUUCCUUCCUUCCUUCCUUCCUUCCUUCCUUCCUUCUUUCUUUCUUUCUUUCUUUCUUUCUUUUUUGGUGCUGGGUGCUAGAAGCUACUUUAUGGCUAAGCAUAUGUUUAGCCCGCGACCUGUGCAGGCUUCAUGAAAGAAGGUUCCAGUCGUG
RNAcentral lists this long non-coding RNA (5484 nucleotides) under Marmota monax (woodchuck). The record is from RNAcentral. Lineage: Eukaryota; Metazoa; Chordata; Mammalia; Rodentia; Sciuridae.